ACGGCUCAGUAACACGUAGCUAACCUGCCCUUAGGACGGGGACAACCCCGAGAAAUUGGGGCUAAUCCCCGAUAGGUGUGAUGUCCUGGAAUGGUAUCACGCCCAAAGGUCCCGACAGCAUGUCGUUGUUACGCCUAAGGAUGGGGCUGCGGCCAAUCAGGCAGUUGGUGAGGUAAUGGCUCACCAAACCUUUGACCGGUACGGGCCAUGAGAGUGGUAGCCCGGAGAUGGACACUGAGACAAGGGUCCAGGCCCUACGGGGCGCAGCAGGCGCGAAACCUCCUCAAUGCACUCACGUGCGAAGGGGUUACCUCGAGUGCCAUCUGAAGAAGGUGGCUUUUCUUAGGUCUAAAUAGCCUUGGGAAUAAGAGGGGGGCAAGACUGGUGUCAGCCGCCGCGGUAACACCAGCCCCUCGAGUGGUGGGGAUGAUUAUUUGGCCUAAAGCGUCCGUAGCCGGCCGGGUAAGUUUCCCGUUAAAUCCAGCGUCUCAAGCGUUGGACUGCGGGAAAUACUGCCCGGCUAGAGAGUGGAAGAGGUAAGCGGUAUUCUGGGGGUAGGGGCGAAAUCCUUUGAUCCCCGGAGGACCACCAGUGGCGAAGGCUGCUUACUAGAACACGUCUGACGGUCAGGGACGAAAGCUGGGGUAGCGAACCGGAUUAGAUACCCGGGUAGUCCCAGCUGUAAACGAUGCACGCUAGGUGUUGGGUCGGCCACGUGCCGCCCCAGUGCCGCAGGGAAGCCGUUAAGCGUGCCGCCUGGGGAGUACGGCCGCAAGGCUGAAACUUAAAGGAAUUGGCGGGGGAGCAC
RNAcentral lists this ribosomal RNA (808 nucleotides) under uncultured crenarchaeote. RNAcentral's name for it is "bacterial SSU rRNA". It matches the Rfam family "Archaeal small subunit ribosomal RNA", at positions 85 to 879 of the family's 1478-position model. Lineage: Archaea; Thermoproteati; Thermoproteota. The record is from RNAcentral.